RNAcentral lists this ribosomal RNA (502 nucleotides) under uncultured bacterium. Its description in RNAcentral is "partial 16S ribosomal RNA". It matches the Rfam family "Bacterial small subunit ribosomal RNA", at positions 30 to 523 of the family's 1533-position model. The record is from RNAcentral.
AUUGAACGCUGGCGGCAUGCCUUACACAUGCAAGUCGAACGGCAGCAUAGGAGCUUGCUCCUGACGGCGAGUGGCGAACGGGUGAGUAAUAUAUCGGAACGUGCCCUAGAGUGGGGGAUAACUAGUCGAAAGACUAGCUAAUACCGCAUACGAUCUACGGAUGAAAGUGGGGGAUCGCAAGACCUCAUGCUCCUGGAGCGGCCGAUAUCUGAUUAGCUAGUUGGUGGGGUAAAAGCUCACCAAGGCGACGAUCAGUAGCUGGUCUGAGAGGACGACCAGCCACACUGGGACUGGGACACGGCCCAGACUCAUACGGGAGGCAGCAGUGGGGAAUUUUGGACAAUGGGGGCAACCCUGAUCCAGCCAUGCCGCGUGAGUGAAGAAGGCCUUCGGGUUGUAAAGCUCUUUCGGCUGAAAAGAAAUCGCACAGGCUAAUACCUUGUGUGGAUGACGGUAUCAGCAUAAGAAGCACCGGCUAACUACGUGCCAGCCGCCGCAGUAA